RNAcentral lists this transfer RNA (72 nucleotides) under Camelus bactrianus (Bactrian camel). It matches the Rfam family "tRNA". Rfam says of the family: Transfer RNA (tRNA) molecules are approximately 80 nucleotides in length. Lineage: Eukaryota; Metazoa; Chordata; Mammalia; Artiodactyla; Camelidae. The record is from Rfam by way of RNAcentral. RNAcentral also lists the same sequence under 2 other names.
GAGUGUAUAGCUCAGUGGUAGAGUGUGUGCUUAGCAUGCACGGGGUCCUGGGUUCAAUCCCCUGUACCUCCA